GCCUGGCCCUAAAUCUUGAUGCUUUCCCCUACCUAAGCAUCCGCCCGGGAACUACGAGCACAAACGCUUAAAACUCUAAGGACUUGGCGGUGCCUCAAACCCACCUAGAGGAGCCUGUUCUGUAAUCGAUGAUCCACGAUAUUACCUGACCAUUCCUUGCUCAAUCAGCCUACAUACCGCCGUCGCCAGCCCACCCCCCCUGAAGGCUAAACAGUGAGCGCAAUAGUCACAUGACACUAGUAAGACAGGUCAAGGUAUAGCCCAUGGAAUGGAAGCAAUGGGCUACAUUUUCUAGACUAGAACAUCACGGCAAAGGGGCAUGAAACUGCCCCUAGAAGGCGGAUUUAGCAGUAAAGUGGGACAAUCGAGCCCUCUUUAAGCCGGCUCUGGGGCACGU
RNAcentral lists this ribosomal RNA (397 nucleotides) under Gymnorhina tibicen (Australian magpie). RNAcentral describes it as "partial 12S ribosomal RNA". It matches the Rfam family "Bacterial small subunit ribosomal RNA", at positions 794 to 1384 of the family's 1533-position model. Lineage: Eukaryota; Metazoa; Chordata; Aves; Passeriformes; Artamidae. The record is from RNAcentral.